GUUGAUAGUGUAGGCAACAAAUUAAGAAACAUUCAAAAUAUGAAUAGUUUGUAUAUGGCUCUCGUUUUUUGCAAUAGUUUUUGCAUGCUCGCCGGCAACCGCUUGCUCUGGGUACACACUUUCUAACCUGAGUUACUACUUCCGUACCACUUCUUCUACCAAGUGAACAAAAGGAGAAAAUCUUACAGCUUACCCGGAUUUAUAAUUGUAGAUAACAAACAAACUCCGCUAGGACUACCC
Molecule: long non-coding RNA, 240 nt
Filed under: Setaria viridis
Lineage: Eukaryota; Viridiplantae; Streptophyta; Magnoliopsida; Poales; Poaceae
Description: long non-coding RNA (SVIR_LNC001493)
Source: RNAcentral